Molecule: ribosomal RNA, 403 nt
Filed under: uncultured prokaryote
Description: bacterial SSU rRNA
Rfam family: Bacterial small subunit ribosomal RNA
Source: RNAcentral
UGAGGAAUAUUGCACAAUGGGGGAAACCCUGAUGCAGCAACGCCGCGUGGGUGAGGAAGGCCUUCGGGUCGUAAAGCCCUUUUAGCAGGGACGAAAGAUGACGGUACCUGCAGAAAAAGCACCUGCUAACUACGUGCCAGCAGCAGCGGUAAUACGUAGGGUGCGAGCGUUAUUCGGAAUCACUGGGCGUAAAGCGCAUGUAGGUGGUUUAGUAAGUCCGAUGUGAAAGCCCACGGCUCAACCGUGGAAGUGCAUUAGAUACUGCUAGACUUGAGUGCAGGAGAGGAGAGCGGAAUUCCCGGUGUAGAGGUGGAAUUCGUAGAUAUCGGGAGGAACACCAGUGGCGAAGGCGACUUUCUGGCUGUCUGCUGACACUGAAACACGAGAGCUAGGGGAGCAAACA